UACAGAGGUCUCAAGCGUUGUUCGGAUUCAUUGGGCGUAAAGGGUGCGUAGGUGGCGGGGCAAGUUUGGUGUGAAAUCCCGGGGCUCAACCCCGGAACUGCACUGAAUACUGCCUUGCUUGAGCACUGGAGAGGGAACUGGAAUUUACGGUGUAGCAGUGAAAUGCGUAGAUAUCGUAAGGAAGACCAGUGGCGAAGGCGAGUCUCUGGACAGCAACUGACGCUGAGGCACGAAGGCCAGGGGAGCAAACGGG
RNAcentral lists this ribosomal RNA (253 nucleotides) under uncultured bacterium. RNAcentral's name for it is "partial 16S ribosomal RNA". It matches the Rfam family "Bacterial small subunit ribosomal RNA", at positions 524 to 776 of the family's 1533-position model. The record is from RNAcentral.